GUGUGUCCUUAACGAUCUUUUGCUAAUUCAACCUGUUAAGCACUAUACUUGUGUAAAAUGUCAAAUUUAUUCGUAGCUAGAUUAUUUUCAGACAGCGGUUUUUUCUUUUGCUGGCUUCUAGAAUAAGCUGGAAUAAGCUGCCCCCUACCCAGCUUAAAUUUUUUUGGUUGGGCUUCUAGAAUAAGCUGGGUAGGGGACAGCUUAUUCUAGAAGCUCAAAAAAGCCAUCAAAAGAACUGGCCCUAAUAUUUGUUUGUAAUGUUUCAUUCUUUACUGCUGUGUGCUAAGUAUGUUUCUCCUAUUUGCAUUAAUUUAACUAAUUUGAAGCGCAUGUCUUGUAAUUAAUCUUUAAUAUUCUAUGUUGACUAUGCUUGCUACCUAAUUGUAACAAUCAAGUUAUAAACAUUAUUUUUCACUCUGCUUGCUACCUAUGUUGGGGGCCCCUAAAAAGUUUUGUGAAAUUGUAUGUACUCAAUGGAUCACUCAAUUUUCUAAAUGUUUUUUCUUCGAACUAUACCUUUUCACUUUGAGUUUUGCUAGUCCCUUGAGUUUUAUCUUUGUGUGACUCUAUGUUUAUAUGUAUAAUAUAUUUCUUAGCCAGUUAGCUCAAAUUGUGCGGAACUUUGAUCUCAACUUUAUUUUAGAACUGGUAGCUUUUAUUGUUUUUUCUUCUGUUUCCACCUUAUAAUUGUGAAUAUUUCGUCUAUAAAUAGAAUGAAGUUAUUGAAUAAAUCAGAAUUAUCUCAGUGCGAUUUCUGCUUUAUAAUAUAGGAUAUGAUUGUACUAUGUUGCAGGCGUGCAUGUAGAGUCUAACUGCUUAUUUCGUUUGAUUUGUUUUCACUUUUUGGUAGCGGGAGGCAUUUUGACCUUAUGUGCACUGUUACUUAUUGUGCCACAGUGUUGGAAUUCCUUGUUUCACACUUGUCUUUUUAUGGAUCAUAAUGUUACUUUCUCGUUUGUCAUGAAUUCAGAUAGCAGGUGUGCAUGUAAUUUUAUUGUUUAGUUCAUAUCUGCUUGAUUUUGUCCCAUUUUAGUUAAAAAACUGGUUGUAGAACACAUUUUAUUAUGUUUUUGACACUGUUGUAUGCUAUCUUACAUGGCAGCAGGUCUGUGCAUAUGUUUAUGAUGUUCAUACAUUUUACUUCUUACAUAUCAUAAUGUAUCUACUUUCCUGUUGGUCAUGAAUUCAGAUAGCAGGUCUGUGCAUGUAGUUUGAUUAUUUAUUUCAUAUCUGCUUGAUUUUCUGUUUCUCUUAAAAAACUGGUAGCUGAAGCCAUUUUGACGUUUUUGACACCGUUAUUUAUUGUGAAGUUCAUAUAUGUAAUUUAUUUCCAAACAUCUUAUUGUGUUGUACAACUUGGCCAUGUAUUUUGACUUGAAGUUCAUAGUACCACAUAAUCUAGUUAAUUUGGUUUUUCAUGAAAAACCAUUGUUAUAGCAUUGUUUUGAAUGUGGCUAUUUUUCUAUCUCCGGUAGUGCACUCUGCAUAAACUUUUUUGUUCCAAAUUUGUAGUGUGAUUGCGGCACAUUGUGUGGGUUAAUUACAGUCGGCCUCUUUUCAAUAGCAUCUGGCUCUUGUGUUUACAUAUUUUGGGGCGGAGGGAGUAGUUGAUUGAUGAUGUAAAAUAGCAGUUGAUUGUUCCUUUAAUAGGAAAGGGUUGCUGUGCCGUUACCUUUCUUGGUUGGAAUAUGUUUUAAGCUUACUUGAAAUGGUUCAUACUGAUUUUGUUUUGCUUUGUUUUGUGUGUUUGACUUGGAAUGUUAAUUCCAAAUUACUAUAUUUUGACUUGGAAUGUACAUUGCAGGUACUUCUAUAAGUAUAUGCACGGGGAAUGAGGCAGCGAUGAAAUGCACAAGAUGGAGAAGACGCUGAGGAAGACAGUUGAACGUGUGGAUGAGAAGGUCCAGUUGAUCAAGGAUGCGAAUGGGUUUUGUCCUCCCAGGCCUAAGCUGUUCGACAGCCUUCCUAUGCCUCAACAGAAAAAGUGAACGCAAGAACGAAACAGGGCGCCAGUCUCUUGCUGUUCUACAUCAAGCAUACGGUUCCUUAUUGUAAAUCUGCUGGGCUACAACAAGCAUACGGUUCCUUACUGUAAAUCUGCUGUGCUACGUUACCGAUACUUGUCUCUUGCUGUAUAUGCGCUGUGCUACGUCAAAUAUCCCGCCCGCCUCUUGCUGUAAAUCAGCUUUGCUAACCUCAAGGAUGGAUGUUUGACACUGAUUUUGUUGGUGUUGAAAGGUUUACACCGUACAAAUGUUGUAGUACGUACAAUACUAUUUUUAAUUGUUUGGCAGGCUACAUAGUGAUUUGGGUUGUGAAGAUCAACACUCGCUCAGAAUAUAUUGUUUUGUACUAGGAAACAAUUUUGUGCCCAUUUAAAUGUUGUGUUCUUCAA
Molecule: long non-coding RNA, 2395 nt
Organism: Triticum aestivum (bread wheat)
Lineage: Eukaryota; Viridiplantae; Streptophyta; Magnoliopsida; Poales; Poaceae
Exons: 2
Source: RefSeq, a predicted model, not a curated record